UACAGAGGGUGCGAGCGUUGUCCGGAAUCACUGGGCGUAAAGGGCGCGUAGGUGGCGCUGCAAGUCGGUGGUGAAAGCUCGUCGCUUAACGACGAGUCGGCCAUCGAAACUGCAGGGCUGGAGCACUGUAGGGGCAGAUGGAAUUCCGGGUGUAGCGGUGGAAUGCGUAGAGAUCCGGAAGAACACCAGUGGCGAAGGCGGUCUGCUGGGCAGUUGCUGACACUGAGGCGCGACAGCGUGGGGAGCAAACAGG
RNAcentral lists this ribosomal RNA (253 nucleotides) under uncultured bacterium. RNAcentral describes it as "partial 16S ribosomal RNA". It matches the Rfam family "Bacterial small subunit ribosomal RNA", at positions 524 to 776 of the family's 1533-position model. The record is from RNAcentral.